GCCUUCGUGGUGUAACGGUAGCACACUCGGCGCGUAUUCAAGAGGUCCAGGGUUUGAUUCCCGGCGAGGAUA
RNAcentral lists this transfer RNA (72 nucleotides) under Stegodyphus mimosarum. It matches the Rfam family "tRNA". From Rfam's summary of the family: Transfer RNA (tRNA) molecules are approximately 80 nucleotides in length. The record is from Rfam by way of RNAcentral. Lineage: Eukaryota; Metazoa; Arthropoda; Arachnida; Araneae; Eresidae.